GANUGGGAAUGGGCGAAGCCUGACCCAGCGACGCCGCGUGAGGGAUGAAGGCCUUCGGGUUGUAAACCUCUUUUCUCAGGGAAGAAUAAUGACGGUACCUGAGGAAUAAGUCUCGGCUAACUACGUGCCAGCAGCCGCGGUAAUACGUAGGAGGCGAGCGUUAUCCGGAUUUAUUGGGCGUAAAGUGGGCGUAGGUGGUCUUUCAAGUCAGAUGUGAAAUCUCCCGGCUCAACUGGGAGGGGUCAUCUGAUACUGUUGGACUUGAGUACAGCAGGGGAAAAUGGAAUUCCCGGUGUAGAGGUGAAAUUCGUAGAUAUUCGGAGGAACACCGGUGGCGAAGGCGGCUUCCUGGCAUGUAACUGACGCUCAUGUUCGAAAGCGUGGGGAGCAAACAGGAUUAGAUACCCUGGUAGUCCACGCCCUAAACGAUGGGCACUAGGUGUGGGAGGUAUCGACCCCUUCCGUGCCGCAGCUAACGCAUUAAGUGCCCCGCCUGGGGAGUACGGCCGCAAGGUUGAAACUCAAAAAAAUUGACGGA
RNAcentral lists this ribosomal RNA (538 nucleotides) under uncultured bacterium. RNAcentral describes it as "bacterial SSU rRNA". It matches the Rfam family "Bacterial small subunit ribosomal RNA", at positions 359 to 917 of the family's 1533-position model. The record is from RNAcentral.